UACGUAGGGGGCAAGCGUUGUCCGGAAUCAUUGGGCGUAAAGAGCGUGUAGGCGGCCCGAUAAGUCCGCCGUGAAAGUCCAGGGCUCAACCCUGGAAUGCCGGUGGAAACUGUCGGGCUGGAGUCCGGAAGAGGCGAGUGGAAUUCCUGGUGUAGCGGUGAAAUGCGCAGAUAUCAGGAGGAACACCGGUGGCGAAGGCGGGUCUCUGGGCCGGAACUGACGCUAAGGAGCGAAAGCGUGGGGAGCAAACAGG
Molecule: ribosomal RNA, 253 nt
Filed under: uncultured bacterium
Lineage: Bacteria
Description: partial 16S ribosomal RNA
Rfam family: Bacterial small subunit ribosomal RNA
Source: RNAcentral